AAAAAACCUGUGCUGUUCCGUCCGUCUCGCUCUGGAUCAGCUAAGACUGUUGGAAAAGAAGCUCUUAUCCCUAGUGAUUGGCUAAAAGUAUGACCUUGAUGUCAACAUCAGCAUUAGCACCUCUGCACUGCAGUGUCCAAUCUGGCAACACUGUUAGGGAUGUAACAUUUCCGUCACAAGCUUGAGGUAUUCGGCCUAUCACAACGCCCUGGACAGCUGGCCAAUCAGAGCACACCUCAGUUUUCAGAACAAUGAGCUUUGUAAAAAUUCAAGGAGUUUCAGAAAGGCGGAGCAUAGAGGAGAAACAUUAUGUGGAAAAUGUAUUUUUAUUUAUUUUAAUCUUAAGCCGCAUAAACCUGUUGCAUUACACCAAAUACACAAAAUAAUGUUAUUUUUAGCAACAUAAUAUGAGCCCUCUUAAUUGUUGAAGGGAUAAUUCACUCAAAAACAAAAGUUCUAUAAUUUAUGUUGUUUUAAACCUGUAUGACCUUCUUCUAUGGAGCACAAAAUAAUUUAAAUUUUAGAGGUUGAUAUGAAUAAAAAGACACGCUAACAUUAACUCUACCUUGGUUACGACUCUUUUGUAGUUUGAAGAUAAAUCACAUAUUUGAAAUGCUGUGAAAGUGAAUACAUGUGUGAGCUGUCACUGUCACUUUAAAUAAGUUGUAUUGGACAAUGUCAGAUUGGGAAGGUUUGCUUUUAAGUGGCUUAUUGCGUUUUAGUGAACGUAGAUUUUCAUCAACACACAUUUGGACACAUUUAUAUCACAUAGCUUAACGCUGACUGUUUUCAAUGAUUCUGAUGUAACAUUCAUGUAUUAUGUGUAAAUAAAGUAUAUUUGCAGUGUA
Carassius auratus (goldfish) is the source of this 848-nucleotide long non-coding RNA. RefSeq lists it as uncharacterized. NCBI's taxonomy places the organism in Eukaryota, Metazoa, Chordata, Actinopteri, Cypriniformes, Cyprinidae. The record is from RefSeq and is a predicted model, not a curated record. The transcript is spliced from 2 exons.